This 1833-nucleotide ribosomal RNA is filed under the name Triticum aestivum (bread wheat). RNAcentral describes it as "partial small subunit ribosomal RNA". Lineage: Eukaryota; Viridiplantae; Streptophyta; Magnoliopsida; Poales; Poaceae. The record is from RNAcentral.
AUGCUUGAUACUAAGAUAAAAGUUGUCCAAUCUGAUUGGGGCGGCGAGUAUCACCGUCUCAAUCGUUAUUUUGCUCGGGAGGGCAUCAUGAACCGUGUCUCUUGCCCACAUACUUCACAGCAAAAUGGCAUCGCCGAGCGCAAACAUCGCCAUAUAGUUGAAACAGGCCUCGCCCUUCUUGCUCACUCCUCGCUUCUUGUUCGUUUUUGGGAUGAGGCUUUUAUCACUGCAUGCUAUCUUAUCAACCGUAUGCCAACACGUGUCCUCAAAAAUUCCACCGCUAUUUCUUGUCUUCUGAACAAGCAACCAGAUUAUACUUUCCUCCGUGCGUUCGGAUGUGCUUGUUGGCCGAACCUUCGGCCAUACAACAACAGGAAACUUGAGUUUCGCUCCCGACAGUGUGUUUUUCUCGGAUAUAAUUCCAUGCACAAAGGGUAUAAGUGCCUCGAUCGAACCAGUGGGCAUAUUUACAUCUCACGUGAUGUUGCAUUCGACGAACAUGUGUUUCCAUUUGCCACUGCUCCACCACAAUCACCACCAACCGAACCACUUCUUCCCACUCCUCCAUCAAUUUUUCCUAUCACCGAGCCGGCUGUAGUGGAUGAUCACAUGAGACGAUAUGAUAUUUCCUUUCUCACUGACUCCUCGUGCAGCUCUCCUUCACCUGCAGGUACUGCACCAUCGCCGCCCUCCGGAUCGACGUCGUGCAUGGGCCCGACUGAGCCUGAGGCUAAUAGCCCCAGCCCACGGUCUCCUGCUACGGCCUCCCCUGCGGAGCUUGCCUCUCCUGCUUCAGCAACUCCUUCAGCAACCCCGGCCCAUGAGCCGGUCUUUGCAGAACCGUCCUCGCCUCCUGUCGUCGCUCAACGGGCGCCUGCGCCCCAUCCGAUGACAACACGGCUCCGGGAAAACAUUGUCCAGAAGUUGGUACCAUCUGACGGCACCGUGCGCUAUGACCCUCGUCGACGCGCCUUCCAUGCUGAGCCCCGGUCCUAUCGCCUCGCCCUCGCUGAUACGCAAUGGCGGUCUGCUAUGGAGGAUGAGUUUUCUGCUCUUCAACAGAACAACACUUGGACCCUUGUUCCUCGUCCUGCUGGCAAGAACAUCAUCAGUUGUAAGUGGGUAUUUAAAGUGAAGCACAAGUCUGAUGGCUCCUUGGACAAAUUCAAAGCUCGCCUCGUUGCUCGCGGGUUUACUCAGCAGCAUGGUAUCGAUUACACGGAUACGUUUUCUCCUGUCGUCAAACCAGCCACGGUGCGUCUUGUGCUUUCUCUGGCUGUUUCUCAUGGAUGGCACCUGCGUCAACUGGACAUUAGCAAUGCUUUCUUGCAUGGUAUCCUGACUGAAGAAGCCUAUACGCAGCAGCCUCCCGGCUUCCAUGAUAAUGUUCAUCCUGAUUAUGUCUGCAAGUUGCACAAAGCAUUAUAUGGCUUAAAACAGUCACCUAGGGCCUGGUAUGGUCGCCUCAGCGAUCGUCUUCAGCAGUUGGGCUUUCACUCGUCAGCAGCUGACACUUCCUUGUUCAUCAUUGCCCAUGGUGGUGUUACUAUUUAUAUGCUCGUGUAUGUUGAUGUCAUUGUCAUUGUCAGCUCCUCUUCAUCAGCACUGGAUCGUCUUCUUCGUCAACUCUCUACCACAUUCCCUGUCAAGGAUCUUGGCGCCCUUCGCUAUUUUCUCGGUAUUGAAGUGCUUCCCAAUUCUGGGGGAAUGACUCUCAUACAGAAGAAGUACGCUCUUGAUUUGCUACAACGUACCGACAUGGCCAAUUGUAAAGCAGUCUCAACACCUAUUGUACUCAUGAGAAGCUCGGCAGAGACACCGGACACCGACUGA